This is a small nucleolar RNA of Abrus precatorius (Indian licorice), 107 nucleotides long. The record is from RefSeq and is a predicted model, not a curated record. Lineage: Eukaryota; Viridiplantae; Streptophyta; Magnoliopsida; Fabales; Fabaceae.
ACACAGUUGUGAGGACAUCUUCUAAGAAGUUCCUUAUACUUCUCUUAUGCUUCAUACAAGGACUCUCUUUCAUGCUACACAAAUGAGGUGAUCUCUCCUCUUAGUUU